CAAGUUUGAUGUCAUCAAGCUUGUUACAAUUAAGUUGUUAACAGCUUGUUCCAAACUUGUGACAACAACUGGGAACAAGCAAUGCGAACACAACUUGUUGACAGCUUGUGAACAGAUUUGUAACAACUUGUUUGCAGACCUGUAGCAACUUGUGUGUUUUUAAUUGUGUGUGUAGGUGGAAACUAUGCUGUAUUCGCGCCAAACAUUCAUGUAAAUGAACAUACAGACAACCAAUAUUAACACGAAGAGAAAAACAUGUGACUCAACAUGCUGAUAUGAAGAUAAGAGCGUCUCUUGUCUUGAUGCGUAGGUUUAAAUCGUUCUAUACCAAGAAACAGCUGUUUAAGAAGAAAGAGCUUCAACGGAAUUCAACAACACGCUUUCUUUUUAGACAAAUAUUUUGGUGAAUUGUUUCUUUUAUACUUUUAUAGGCAUUUUCCUAAUCUGCCGGUAAUAUCGUCCGGUAUUUUAUAAAUCAAUUAUAUCUUUUGGUUUGUGGAAAUCACACCACGUAUAUUAAUUAUUGCAAUAACAAAUGAUGUUUUCCAGAACUCACAAGCUUUCAAGGACAAGGAAGUUUCCGUAUAUUACUGCAACCCAUA
Non-coding RNA from Paramuricea clavata, 602 nucleotides. NCBI's taxonomy places the organism in Eukaryota, Metazoa, Cnidaria, Anthozoa, Malacalcyonacea, Plexauridae. The record is from the annotation of a GenBank genome assembly.